CUUUAGCCCCGAUUGCAGUGAAAAUCCUCCCGUUUUUUUUGGGAGAUUGUAACGGAAAGCGGGACGAUCU
This 70-nucleotide small RNA is filed under the name Flavobacterium sp. 103. Its description in RNAcentral is "Flavo-1 RNA". It matches the Rfam family "Flavo-1 RNA". Lineage: Bacteria; Pseudomonadati; Bacteroidota; Flavobacteriia; Flavobacteriales; Flavobacteriaceae. The record is from RNAcentral.